RNAcentral lists this non-coding RNA (979 nucleotides) under Geopelia striata (zebra dove). RNAcentral's name for it is "12S ribosomal RNA". It matches the Rfam family "Bacterial small subunit ribosomal RNA". The record is from RNAcentral. Lineage: Eukaryota; Metazoa; Chordata; Aves; Columbiformes; Columbidae.
AAAGACUUAGUCCUAACCUUACCAUUAGUUUCUACUAGACAUAUACAUGCAAGUAUCCGCGCCCCAGUGUAAAUGCCCUUAAUUCCUGUAAACCAUAGGUAAAGGAGCCGGCAUCAGGCACGCCCAUCGCAGCCCAAGACGCCUUGUUUAGCCACACCCCCACGGGUACUCAGCAGUAAUUAACAUUAAGCAAUAAGUGUAAACUUGACUUAGUUAUAGUAGCACUCAGGGUUGGUAAAUCUUGUGCCAGCCACCGCGGUCACACAAGAAACCCAAAUUAAUAGUACGCGGCGUAAAGAGUGGACCCAUGACUAUCAUAAUAACUAAGGCUGAAAAGUAACUGAGCUGUCAUAAGCUUAAGAUACAUUUAAAAUCACCCUAAAAAUGACCUUAGCUCUUACGAUCGAUUAAAUUCCACGAAAGCCAGGGUACAAACUGGGAUUAGAUACCCCACUAUGCUUGGCCCUAAAUCCUGAUGCUUAACCCACUAAAGCAUCCGCCUGAGGACUACGAGCACAAACGCUUAAAACUCUAAGGACUUGGCGGUGCCCCAAACCCACCUAGAGGAGCCUGUUCUAUAAUCGACAACCCACGCUACACCCGACCACUUCUUGCAAAAGCCAGCCUACAUACCGCCGUCGCCAGCUCACCUCUACUGAGAGCACAGCAGUGAACACAAUCGCCCUAACCCCGCUAGUACGACAGGUCAAGGUAUAGCCCAUGAAGUGGAAGAAAUGGGCUACAUUUUCUAAUUUAGAAAACCCUCAUACAACGAAAGGGAACGUGAAACAAUUCCCAGAAGGCGGAUUUAGCAGUAAAGCAGGACAACAAAGCCCCCUUAAAAUUGGCUCUGAGGCACGUACAUACCGCCCGUCACCCUCCUCACAAGCUUAAAACCACCCAUAAAUAAUGCAUCUAUCUGCCAAAGAUGAGGUAAGUCGUAACAAGGUAAGUGUACCGGAAGGUGCACUUAGUACAC